This 927-nucleotide long non-coding RNA is filed under the name Salmo salar (Atlantic salmon). RNAcentral's name for it is "lncRNA (ENSSSAG00000111221.1, ENSSSAG00020048346.1)". Lineage: Eukaryota; Metazoa; Chordata; Actinopteri; Salmoniformes; Salmonidae. The record is from RNAcentral.
GUUCAUGAGGGCGGAUCCUCCGUUCCAAAACCUUUUUCAAGACAGAGGAACCAUCCGGUUGAAAUAUUACUGAAUCUUCACGUUCUAAAGGCCCAAAGAUUGAUGUUGUACAACGUUUGACAUGUUUGAACGAACGUAAAUACAACUUUUCUUAAACUUUUCGUCGUGACAUCGUCCGCGAACUUCCUACAUUUGGAGUAGCUUACUGAACGCGUGAACAACAAGGAGUUAUUUGGACAUAAAUUAUGGACUUUAUCGAACAAAACAACAUUUGUUGUGGACCUGGGAUUCCUGGAAGUGCCUUCUGAUGAAGAUCAUCAAAGGCAGUGGUGUCCCCUUCUUCCCCCAGUCCAGCUGUGUGUCAGCCCUCGGAGGUUCUAGAGAUGACAGAGAGGGGAACCUUAAACUACAGCUGAUGGUGAUUGAUAUGUUGUGUCAGAUACUGCAGACUGAGUCUAUAUGGGAUGUCCAGCAAUGGAUUCUGACAGCUGGUCAAAGAGAAAAGGACCAGGUUCUAAGUCUGCUGUGUUCCGCCCUGGCCAAGGACCCUGUCUCAGCCUAUGAGGCUCCAGGAAGAGAGCAGCUGACAGUGAAGGAGGUUCAAAACUUCCCUCCUGCCUCCAGAAUGGCUUUGAUCAGUGAGAAGGAUACCACCAGAAAUCAUUCCCUAGAAAUGAUGUCAAACUGUGACUCAGGUAAACUGGAGGAUGCAGACACAGAGAGGGCAGAGUCCAAGACCCCCAGGGAGAAUCACAGCGCCAGACCCCUGAGUACCCAGAGGACCCUGGGUAGCCCCCCCGUGUGUCACCUCAACCAGAAGGUGGUCCUACGGUGCACCAAGUGGGCCCUGAUGCCUCACACACAACCUGAAGUGUUCCAGGCUGAAUGGCCCAACUAUACCCAGCAGGCACCUGGCUGACUCGUGAC